RNAcentral lists this ribosomal RNA (400 nucleotides) under Babesia annae. RNAcentral describes it as "SSU rRNA". It matches the Rfam family "Eukaryotic small subunit ribosomal RNA", at positions 610 to 1029 of the family's 1831-position model. The record is from RNAcentral. Lineage: Eukaryota; Apicomplexa; Aconoidasida; Piroplasmida; Babesiidae.
UUGUUGCAGUUAAGAAGCUCGUAGUUGAAUUUCUGCCUUAUCAUUAAUUUCGCUUCCGAACGUAAUUUUAUUGAUUUGGCAUCUUCUGGAUUAUAUAUUAUUUUUAAUAUAUUUUUCCAGUAUUUUACUUUGAGAAAACUAGAGUGUUUCAAACAGGCUUUUGCCUUGAAUACUACAGCAUGGAAUAAUGAAGUAGGACUAUUGGUUCUAUUUUGUUGGUUAUCGAACCAUAGUAAUGGUUAAUAGGAGCAGUUGGGGGCAUUCGUAUUUAACUGUCAGAGGUGAAAUUCUUAGAUUUGUUAAAGACGAACUACUGCGAAAGCAUUUGCCAAGGAUGUUUUCAUUAAUCAAGAACGAAAGUUAGGGGAUCGAAGACGAUCAGAUACCGUCGUAGUCCUAA